This 492-nucleotide ribosomal RNA is filed under the name uncultured bacterium. Its description in RNAcentral is "partial 16S ribosomal RNA". It matches the Rfam family "Bacterial small subunit ribosomal RNA", at positions 29 to 507 of the family's 1533-position model. The record is from RNAcentral.
AGUGAACGCUGGCGGUAGGCCUAACACAUGCAAGUCGAACGGCAGCACAGUAAGAGCUUGCUCUUACGGGUGGCGAGUGGCGGACGGGUGAGGAAUACAUCGGAAUCUACUUUUUCGUGGGGGAUAACGUAGGGAAACUUACGCUAAUACCUCAUACGACCUACGGGUGAAAGCAGGGGAUCUUCGGACCUUGCGCGAUUGAAUGAGCCGAUGUCGGAUUAGCUAGUUGGCGGGGUAAAGGCCCACCAAGGCGACGAUCCGUAGCUGGUCUGAGAGGAUGAUCAGCCACACUGGAACUGAGACACGGUCCAGACUCCUACGGGAGGCAGCAGUGGGGAAUAUUGGACAAUGGGCGCAAGCCUGAUCCAGCCAUACCGCGUGGGUGAAGAAGGCCUUCGGGUUGUAAAGCCCUUUUGUUGGGAAAGAAAAGCAGCAGGUUAAUACCCCGCUGUUCUGACGGUACCCAAAGAAUAAGCACCGGCUAACUUCAUG